CUAAGAAUCUUCCGCAAUGGGCGAAAGCCUGACGGAGCGACGCCGCGUGGACGAAGAAGGCCUUAUCGGUUGUAAAGUCCUGUCAGGGUGGAAGAAUAAGUUCAGAAGGAAAUGACUGAAGAUGACGGUACACCCAGAGGAAGCCCCGGCUAAUUCCGUGCCAGCAGCCGCGGUAAUACGGAAGGGGCAAGCGUUGUUCGGAUUUAUUGGGCGUAAAGCGCAUGCAGGCGGUUUACUAAGUCCAGUGUGAAAUCCUGCAGCUCAACUGCAGAACUGCGCUGGAUACUGGUAAACUAGAGUCAGGGAGAGGAAGAUGGAAUUCCUGGUGUAGGAGUGAAAUCUGUAGAUAUCAGGAAGAACACCAGUGGCGAAGGCGAUCUUCUGGCCUAUGACUGACGCUCAGAUGCGAAAGCUAGGGGAGCGAACG
Molecule: ribosomal RNA, 427 nt
Filed under: uncultured bacterium
Lineage: Bacteria
Description: bacterial SSU rRNA
Rfam family: Bacterial small subunit ribosomal RNA
Source: RNAcentral